Molecule: ribosomal RNA, 390 nt
Filed under: uncultured cyanobacterium
Lineage: Bacteria; Bacillati; Cyanobacteriota
Description: bacterial SSU rRNA
Rfam family: Bacterial small subunit ribosomal RNA
Source: RNAcentral
CGAAAGCCUGACGGAGCAAGACCGCGUGGGGGAAGAAGGCUCUUGGGUUGUAAACCCCUUUUCUCUGGGAAGAAAGUUGUGAAAGCAACCUGACGGUACCAGAGGAAUCAGCAUCGGCUAACUCCGUGCCAGCAGCCGCGGUAAGACGGAGGAUGCAAGCGUUAUCCGGAAUGAUUGGGCGUAAAGCGUCCGCAGGUGGCAGUUCAAGUCUGCUGUCAAAGACCGGGGCUUAACUUCGGAAAGGCAGUGGAAACUGAACAGCUAGAGUAUGGUAGGGGCAGAGGGAAUUCCUGGUGUAGCGGUGAAAUGCGUAGAGAUCAGGAAGAACAUCGGUGGCGAAGGCGCUCUGCUGGACCAUAACUGACACUCAGGGACGAAAGCUAGGGGAGC